UGGCGACCGGCGCACGGGUGAGUAACGCGUGUGCAACUUACCUAUCAGAGGGGGAUAGCCCGGCGAAAGUCGGAUUAAUACCCCAUGAAACAGGGGUCCCGCAUGGGAAUAUUUGUUAAAGAUUCAUCGCUGAUAGAUAGGCAUGCGUUCCAUUAGGCAGUUGGCGGGGUAACGGCCCACCAAACCGACGAUGGAUAGGGGUUCUGAGAGGAAGGUCCCCCACAUUGGUACUGAGACACGGCCAA
Molecule: ribosomal RNA, 245 nt
Filed under: uncultured bacterium
Lineage: Bacteria
Description: partial 16S ribosomal RNA
Rfam family: Bacterial small subunit ribosomal RNA
Source: RNAcentral